UACAGAGGUCUCAAGCGUUGUUCGGAUUCAUUGGGCGUAAAGAGCUCGUAGGCGGCUCAGUCAGUCGGGUGUGAAACCCUCAGGCUCAACCUGGGGACGCCACUCGAUACUGCUGUGGCUAGAGUCCAGUAGGGGAGUGUGGAAUUCCCGGUGUAGCGGUGAAAUGCGCAGAUAUCGGGAGGAACACCAGCGGCGAAGGCGGCACUCUGGGCUGGUACUGACGCUGAGGAGCGAAAGCGUGGGUAGCAAACAGG
Molecule: ribosomal RNA, 254 nt
Filed under: uncultured bacterium
Lineage: Bacteria
Description: partial 16S ribosomal RNA
Rfam family: Bacterial small subunit ribosomal RNA
Source: RNAcentral